Molecule: non-coding RNA, 166 nt
Filed under: uncultured Massilistercora sp.
Lineage: Bacteria; Bacillati; Bacillota; Clostridia; Eubacteriales
Source: RNAcentral
CCAUACCGGUUCUGUCUGCGCAGAUGAAAAGGGAAUGUGGUGAAAGGCCACAGCAGCUCACUCUACUGUAUGGAGGGACGAACCCUGUGUACCACUGUCAGUUUUUCUGGCGGGAAGGACAGGAAGUAGGUUUUAGCUCCAAGCCAGGAUACCUGCCGGUAUGUAU